UACGGGGGGGGCAAGCGUUGUUCGGAAUUACUGGGCGUAAAGGGCUCGUAGGCGGCCAACUAAGUCAGACGUGAAAUCCCUCGGCUUAACCGGGGAACUGCGUCUGAUACUGGAUGGCUUGAGUUUGGGAGAGGGAUGCGGAAUUCCAGGUGUAGCGGUGAAAUUCGUAGAUAUUCGGAAGAACACCAGUGGCGAAGGCGACUCACUGGACAACUGUUGACGCUGAGGUGCGAAAGCGUGGGGAGCAAACAGG
RNAcentral lists this ribosomal RNA (253 nucleotides) under uncultured bacterium. Its description in RNAcentral is "partial 16S ribosomal RNA". It matches the Rfam family "Bacterial small subunit ribosomal RNA", at positions 524 to 776 of the family's 1533-position model. The record is from RNAcentral.